Molecule: non-coding RNA, 103 nt
Organism: Podospora australis
Lineage: Eukaryota; Fungi; Ascomycota; Sordariomycetes; Sordariales; Podosporaceae
Source: the annotation of a GenBank genome assembly
GCCCGGCUGGCGCAAUCGGUAGCGCGCAAGACUUCUACUUCAACAAUCUUGAUUCAAGGAAUUUGAUAUCUUGAGGCUGUGGGUUCGAGUCCCACGUCGGGUG